GUCUAUGGCCAUACCACCCUAAACGCACCCAAUCUCGUCUGAUUUCGGAAGCUAAGCAGGGUCGGACCUGGUUAGUACUUGGAUGGGAGACAAAUAAGCAAACUGGGGCUCAGAUA
Molecule: ribosomal RNA, 116 nt
Filed under: Microcebus murinus (gray mouse lemur)
Lineage: Eukaryota; Metazoa; Chordata; Mammalia; Primates; Cheirogaleidae
Source: RNAcentral